RNAcentral lists this ribosomal RNA (34 nucleotides) under Trichophyton rubrum. RNAcentral describes it as "partial 28S ribosomal RNA". RNAcentral also lists the same sequence under 1 other name. Lineage: Eukaryota; Fungi; Ascomycota; Eurotiomycetes; Onygenales; Arthrodermataceae. The record is from RNAcentral.
GGUUGACCUCGGAUCAGGUAGGGAUACCCGCUGA